UAGUUGGCAGGGUAAAAGCCUACCAAGGCUGUGAUCGGUAGCCGGCCUGAGAGGGCACACGGCCACACUGGCACUGAAACACGGGCCAGACUCCUACGGGAGGCAGCAGUGGGGAAUCUUGCACAAUGGGGGAAACCCUGAUGCAGCGACGCCGCGUGAGCGAUGAAGCCCUUCGGGGUGUAAAGCUCUUUCGGCAGGGAAGAUUAUGACGGUACCUGCAGAAGCAGCUGCGGCUAACUACGUGCCAGCAGCCGCGGUAAUACGUAGGCAGCAAGCGUUGUUCGGAGUUACUGGGCGUAAAGGGUGUGUAGGCGGCCCGCUAAGUUCCGUGUGAAAUCUCCCGGCUCAACCGGGAGGGUGCGCGGAAUACUGACGGGCUAGAGUGCGGGAUGGGAGAGUAGAAUUCCUGGUGUAGCGGUGAAAUGCGUAGAUAUCAGGAGGAAUACCGGUGGUGUAGACGGCUCUCUGGACCGCAACUGACGCUGAGACACGAAAGCGUGGGUAGCAAACAGGAUUAGAUACCCUGGUAGUCCACGCCCUAAACGAUGCAUAUUUGGUGUAGGUCAUUCAGUUGAUCUGUGCCGGAGCUAACGCGUUAAAUAUGCCGCCUGGGGAGUACAGUCGCAAGGCUGAAACUCAAAGGAAUUGACG
Molecule: ribosomal RNA, 651 nt
Filed under: uncultured Acidobacteriota bacterium
Lineage: Bacteria; Pseudomonadati; Acidobacteriota
Description: SSU rRNA
Rfam family: Bacterial small subunit ribosomal RNA
Source: RNAcentral